RNAcentral lists this transfer RNA (73 nucleotides) under Felis catus (domestic cat). It matches the Rfam family "tRNA". From Rfam's summary of the family: Transfer RNA (tRNA) molecules are approximately 80 nucleotides in length. Their secondary structure includes four short double-helical elements and three loops (D, anti-codon, and T loops). Further hydrogen bonds mediate the characteristic L-shaped molecular structure. tRNAs have two regions of fundamental functional importance: the anti-codon, which is responsible for specific mRNA codon recognition, and the 3' end, to which the tRNAs corresponding amino acid is attached (by aminoacyl-tRNA synthetases). tRNAs cope with the degeneracy of the genetic code in two manners: having more than one tRNA (with a specific anti-codon) for a particular amino acid; and 'wobble' base-pairing, i.e. permitting non-standard base-pairing at the 3rd anti-codon position. Lineage: Eukaryota; Metazoa; Chordata; Mammalia; Carnivora; Felidae. The record is from Rfam by way of RNAcentral.
GCCUGGCUGGCUCAGUCAGUAGAGCAUGCGACUCUUGAUCUCAGGGUGGUGAGUUCGAGCCCCACACUGGGUG